UACGUAGGCAGCGAGCGUUGUUCGGAAUUACUGGGCGUAAAGAGUGUGUAGGCGGCGCUCUAAGUUCGGUGUGCAAUCUCUCGGCUUAACUGGAAGGGUGCGCCGGAAACUGGAGUGCUCGAACGUGGGAGAGGAAAGCGGAAUUCCUGGUGUAGCGGUGAAAUGCGUAGAUAUCAGGAGGAACACCUGCGGUGUAGACGGCUUUCUGGACCAUUGUUGACGCUGAGACACGAAAGCGUGGGUAGCAAACAGG
Molecule: ribosomal RNA, 253 nt
Filed under: uncultured bacterium
Lineage: Bacteria
Description: partial 16S ribosomal RNA
Rfam family: Bacterial small subunit ribosomal RNA
Source: RNAcentral